Long non-coding RNA from Gadus macrocephalus (Pacific cod), 525 nucleotides. RefSeq lists it as uncharacterized. Lineage: Eukaryota; Metazoa; Chordata; Actinopteri; Gadiformes; Gadidae. The record is from RefSeq and is a predicted model, not a curated record. The transcript has 2 exons.
CGGUGACCAGACGUCCCCGUUUUCGGUGAUCUGUCCCCGGUCAAAGCUGUCCCCGGAAAUGUCCCCGAUUUUGACAGUGAAUGGGGGAAAAAUGCGCGCAGACUCAAACACCAGUUAUUACGGUAGUCAUUUAACGCAGCACCAGAGAAGACGUCGUAUGACGUACAGGCGUUAUCAGGACGUACGACCAGACGCAGCAGCGUCAACAACAACAAUCUAGAGGCGGCAAAAAGGAAAAAGAGAAGAUCAGCGGUCUCAUAAAUGGGGCGCCACCAGGGAUGUUGGGCCCCAUGAAAAGAUAUCACACUGGGUCCCGCCAUCACACACACACAGGCAACGCCAACCAUGUGCAGUUUCUGUAACCACACCUCUACCUGUGAAGGCUUCAAUUAUCUUAUUGUCCGAUACUAACUUUACAAUAUGACAUUGAGCUGUGAUAAUAUAACACUGUGAAGACAUGCAGGAAACAUUCUGCAUACUGAUAGUGUUUGUUUAAUUAUAAAUUUGAUUUUCCAUUAAAAUCCA